UUUGUCCUACGGGGGGCAGCAGUGAGGAAUAUUGGUCAAUGGCCGGAAGGCUGAACCAGCCAAGCCGCGUGAAGGACGAAGGUGCCAAGCAUUGUAAACUUCUUUUGUCAAGGGACAAAAUCAGGCUCGAGAGCCUGACCGAGGGUACUUGAAGAAAAAGCAUCGGCUAACUCCGUGCCAGCAGCCGCGGUAAUACGGAGGAUGCGAGCGUUAUCCGGAUUUAUUGGGUUUAAAGGGUGCGUAGGCGGUCCGUUAAGUCAGCGGUACAAUUGCGGGGCUCAAC
This 283-nucleotide ribosomal RNA is filed under the name uncultured bacterium. RNAcentral's name for it is "partial 16S ribosomal RNA". It matches the Rfam family "Bacterial small subunit ribosomal RNA", at positions 333 to 613 of the family's 1533-position model. The record is from RNAcentral.